AUGGAUGGGACAAGUUCAACACGGCAAGGCACGGGGUCGACCCGCGGGGGUCGAAGGCGUAAACGAUGUAAGCUGAUCUGUAGGCUGUUUAAACCGAAACCCUCCGCCGUCUUAUUUUCCCGCCAGUCAUCUCGUUCAUCAAGGCCAAGAACCCAGACGACACCGGGUGACGCGGAGUCCGCUCGCCGUCUGGGUUCUGGGUCAACAGAAAUUGACGACGCCGGAGCCCGUCAACACUACCACCGGCUCUGGACGGAACCGCAGCCCUGCUUGGGCCUGGCAAAGGGGAUUCGUCCUUCUGUUCAGCGCAGGGGGCUGGUUUCCGCUCUCCUUCUGUGCUCACGUCUAAUUCCAGCCCCAGCGUAUAUACCCGGCUGCCGGCCCCGGACUGGUCCAGCAGCCAUCUAUCUAGAUGAGAAGCAAUUUGAUAAAUUCAAACGGGGCACCCUUCCUACGCAAUUUAUUUAGCUUUAGCAAGUUAAUCAGAGUGCACGAGCCCAAUUUGUCACCGUGCUGUUUUCUUUCGCUUGCUGCUCUAAUUGUAUAAACAUGCCCAGAGGUCUGAUGAAACUUCUAACACAUCAAACAACAAAUGGCCCACUUACAGAGUGCGCCGUGGCUAUUUUGAAGCAGGGCUUCUCCCUCCUGAGGCUGGAGGUCCCCCUCCACCCCACUCCUGCCCGGCCGACGCCCUGGCACAAUCAGGUGGCCGAUACCUUGGGAUUCACACGCAGAUCGCAGAGCCUGGGGCAGGGCAGGCUGGGCAGGGGUGAGGAGGAAGGAUGCCACAUCACAGCUGACAUGCCCUCUGUGUUGUCCUCUCUCCCUUGGGGAUUUAUGCAGCAGGGCCAAUGGCCACACUCGGGGGCUCGAGAGCCCCAUCCCUCCGGGGUCCCGGCCUCUUCCGUCGGGUUGUCCUCUGAACCACUUUCAGCCCCUGAUUUAUUAAGAGGAAGGUAGAGAGACUUCUAUCUCAGUCCCUGGACACCAAUCGGAGGCAGGUACCACCUUGGCAGAGAACCCUUGGGGCCGGAUGGCCAGGGAGAGCAAGGGAAACUGAAGCCAACAUGUCCACAUUUAGUUCUGGAAGUGUGACUUCUCAAGAUUUCCUUUUUAUUGAUUUAGAAUUCCCGCCUUUCGGAGAUUUCAACCUUCUGUCUCUCGGGGCCCGGGUUCCCACUUCGCCCUAUAAAUUUCAGUUUAAUAAAGGAUGUGUCUAGCCAGGAGACA
RNAcentral lists this long non-coding RNA (1230 nucleotides) under Felis catus (domestic cat). Its description in RNAcentral is "lncRNA (ENSFCAG00000053012.1)". Lineage: Eukaryota; Metazoa; Chordata; Mammalia; Carnivora; Felidae. The record is from RNAcentral.